RNAcentral lists this ribosomal RNA (502 nucleotides) under uncultured bacterium. RNAcentral describes it as "bacterial SSU rRNA". It matches the Rfam family "Bacterial small subunit ribosomal RNA", at positions 38 to 526 of the family's 1533-position model. The record is from RNAcentral.
GGCGGCGCGCUUAACACAUGCAAGUCGAGCGAGAACUAGUCCUUCGGGACUAGGGACAGCGGCGAACGGGUGAGUAACACGUGAGUAAUCCACCCUCGGUACCGGAAUAGCCCGGGGAAACUCGGAUUAAUGCCGGAUGGCCCAUUUGCUCUUCGGAGCUGAAUGGAAAAGAUAGCUUCGGCCUUCGACCGGGGACGAGCUCGCGGCGGAUUAGCUUGUUGGCGGGGUAACGGCCCACCAAGGCGACGAUCCGUAGCUGGUCUGAGAGGACGAUCAGCCACACUGGGACUGAGACACGGCCCAGACUCCUACGGGAGGCAGCAGUGGGGAAUCUUGCGCAAUGGGCGAAAGCCUGACGCAGCGACGCCGCGUGAGGGAAGAAGGCCUUCGGGUUGUAAACCUCUUUCAGGAGGGACGAAGCCACUCGGGUUAAUAGCCCAGANGGUGACGGUACCUCCAGAAGAAGCCCCGGCUAACUACGUGCCAGCAGCCGCGGUAAUAC